AGUCUGACCGAGCAACGCCGCGUGAGUGAAGAAGGUUUUCGGAUCGUAAAACUCUGUUGUUAGAGAAGAACAAGGGUGAGAGUAACUGUUCACCCCUUGACGGUAUCUAACCAGAAAGCCACGGCUAACUACGUGCCAGCAGCCGCGGUAAUAC
RNAcentral lists this ribosomal RNA (154 nucleotides) under uncultured Enterococcus sp. RNAcentral's name for it is "partial 16S ribosomal RNA". It matches the Rfam family "Bacterial small subunit ribosomal RNA", at positions 380 to 526 of the family's 1533-position model. The record is from RNAcentral. Lineage: Bacteria; Bacillati; Bacillota; Bacilli; Lactobacillales; Enterococcaceae.